Molecule: ribosomal RNA, 1028 nt
Filed under: uncultured Mycoplasma sp.
Lineage: Bacteria; Bacillati; Mycoplasmatota; Mollicutes; Mycoplasmatales; Mycoplasmataceae
Description: bacterial SSU rRNA
Rfam family: Bacterial small subunit ribosomal RNA
Source: RNAcentral
CAGCAGUAGGGAAUCUUCCACAAUGAGCGAAAGCUUGAUGGAGCGACACAGCGUGCAGGAUGAAGGUUUUCGAAUUGUAAACUGCUGUUAUAGGGGAAGAAAAACUUGGAUAGGAAAUGAUCCAAACUUGACGGUACCUUAUUAGAAAGUGACGGCUAACUAUGUGCCAGCAGCCGCGGUAAUACAUAGGUCACAAGCGUUAUCCAGAAUUAUUGGGCGUAAAGCGUUCGUAGGCGGUUUGUUAAGUCUGGAGUUAAAGACUGGGGCUCAACCCCAGCCCGCUCUGGAUACUGGCUGACUAGAGUUACAUAGAGGUAAGUGGAAUUCUUAGUGGAGCGGUGGAAUGCGUAGAUAUUAGGAAGAACACCAAUGGCGAAGGCAGCUUACUGGAUGUACACUGACGCUCAGGGACGAAAGCGUGGGGAGCAAACAGGAUUAGAUACCCUGGUAGUCCACGCCGUAAACGAUGAUCAUUAGCCGCUAGAAUAUUUAGUGGCGCAGCUAACGCAUUAAAUGAUCCGCCUGAGUAGUAUGCUCGCAAGAGUGAAACUUAAAGGAAUUGACGGGGACCCGCACAAGCGGUGGAGCAUGUGGUUUAAUUUGAAGAUACGCGUAGAACCUUACCCACUCUUGACAUCUUCCGCAAUACUAUGGAGACAUAGUGGAGGUUAACGGAAUGACAGAUGGUGCAUGGUUGUCGUCAGCUCGUGCCGUGAGGUGUUAGGUUAAGUCCUGCAACGAGCGCAACCCCUGUCUUUAGUUACUAACGGAUAAUGCCGAGGACUCUAGAGAGACUGACUGGGUAACCAGUAGGAAGGUGGGGACGACGUCAAAUCAUCAUGCCUCUUACGAGUGGGGCAACACACGUGCUACAAUGGACGGUACAAAGAGAAGCAAUAUGGUGACAUGGAGCAAACCUCAAAAACCGUUCUCAGUUCGGAUUGAAGUCUGAAACUCGACUUCAUGAAGUUGGAAUCGCUAGUAAUCGUAGAUCAGCUACGCUACGGUGAAUACGUUCUCGGGUCUUG